Molecule: ribosomal RNA, 306 nt
Filed under: uncultured bacterium
Lineage: Bacteria
Description: partial 16S ribosomal RNA
Rfam family: Bacterial small subunit ribosomal RNA
Source: RNAcentral
GGAGGAUCCAAGCGUUAUCCGGAUUCAUUGGGUUUAAAGGGUGYGUAGGCGGAAUGAUAAGUCAGUCGUGAAANCCNGUNGCUUAACNGCAGAACUGCCAUUGAUACUGUCAAUCUUGAGUACAUUUGAUGUGGGCGGAAUGUGUCAUGUAGCGGUGAAAUGCUUAGAUAUGACACAGAACACCGAUUGGGAAGGCAGCUCACAAAACUGUAASWGACGSUGAGGCAAGAAAGCGUGGGUAUCAMACAGGAUUAGAUMCCSUKGUAGUCCMCGCUGUAAAAUAUGAUUACUCGAUGUKUCGAUACC